Molecule: long non-coding RNA, 519 nt
Organism: Ornithorhynchus anatinus (platypus)
Lineage: Eukaryota; Metazoa; Chordata; Mammalia; Monotremata; Ornithorhynchidae
Exons: 3
Source: RefSeq, a predicted model, not a curated record
CUGGAAAUGAUGUAGGGCAAUUAUGACGCCUCGUACGGCUCCAAGACCACCAUUCGUGGUUGAUUUUUCACACAGUACUCUCUGGAUUGGAGUCAUCCUCUCAUGGUGUAGAAGCCUGACCCCAAAGAUUCUGAAGAUCACCCUGGUGUCCUUGAGAAACGGAUGGUGAAGGAACUUCAAGGGCAACAGAUGCAAAACUUUCCAAGGCUUGUCAGUUCAGUACGUAAGUGAAAAGAGGAAAUCAGAGCUUCUCUUCAAAAAUCUCUACCGUUAAUUUUUAUGAAGGAUCAGGCUGGGAGCAGAUACCAGAUCCCUGGUGGGACUCAAAUUCCAGGGCCCGGAAUUUUGUUGCCGAAUUUAUACGGUUUGGAGAAGCAAGUUUGCUAACUCGCGUUGACCCAACAGAAUGAGCCUGCUCCGCGUGGCCCUGCCUGCUGCUCUUCUGUUUGAAAGGUGUUUAAUUAUUUCUGACAGAGUUCAGCUCCGACAUCUGUUCGUGAGCAGGGAAAGCCCAUUUAG